GUCCCCAGGAGCUCAGGCUGGCCAGAGGGAACCAGGCGCCUCUCAGGCCCGGCCUUGGUCCAUUGGAAGUUCCAGACGUAUAUGAUGGCUGUGUGAGAGACUAAAGGAUGCACAGAAUAUGACCAGACACAGGAUGGGAGCGCCCAGACGCCCACUUAGGUUUAACUGAAAUGGUCUGCAGAUGUUUUCCCCCACCAGAGGAGGUCGCUACCACGUCUCCUCUAUGGAGGAAUCCAAGAUCUGUUGGCUUGGAGAGCACACAUAGUCUUCCUGUGUCUGCACAGCUUGCUCGAGUAUCAGUGCCAUGGACUCUGGCCAGAGAUCUUGAGUAGCUCCUGGAAUAUCUUCUUACUCAGGAAACAUUUCCAAGGAACUUACUCUUGAGAGUGAAAUCUGAAGUUGAUUUUCUGACCUGCUCUUCUGGUGGCCCAGAGCAAUUUUCUACAGAAAGUACAUCAAAAACUUGUCUAAAUACAAGAACAGAUUGUGACUUACUAGACUUUUGUACUAAUGCCCGUCAGUGAAGAUUGUAAGACAUAUCUCAAGUGUCAUUACCCAACUGGGAAGAUAGUUUGAGAAUAUUUACAGCAAUAGUCAGAUGCUCCUCUCCAGCCAUCAAAUAUAAUAUGAACUUUGUGUUUAUCCGCACACCCCCUUGUUGCUGGUUUUAGCACAUAAGGGUUUUUUUCUGUUGCUUCAAAUUUCAUUCCCACCUUAAAUGAUUUAGGGUGGCUUCCAUGAUUACCUUCUUGAAAUGUAUUGAAUGUGUGAUUUCACAUGCAUUUAGAGAGUACAUAAGGAACAGUGGCAAGAUACCCAUUGACUCAGAUCCCCGGGGAAAGCUAAAGUGUGAUGCCCUCUUUUUUUUGGUUUUCCGUAACCAAAACAUCCCACAGGCUGUGCACUCCAGGGACAUGCAUGCUUCCCAGAGGCAUUUCCACCCUCAUUACUGUCGAGUGCUAUCUGUAAUAUGGUACUUCUAAUCACAGUAACUGUCACAAUGCAUGUUGAUGAAGCAUUGUGACAGUAAUGUGCUUGCUUGCCUUUCAAACCAAUUUUGAGGUCUUUAGAGAAUUCGGAAUGUCUGAAAUAUUGUGAAGGAACAGAGAAAGAUGCAGUUUCCUGCCAGUACUUGUUCCGCUGUACAGUGCUAUUUUUGCUCAGGUGAUACUUUUGCAUGCAUGCACAAAUGUGCUCACAUGUGAAAACUCUAAACUUAGGACAUUCUGAAGUGAGGCUCCUUAAUACUCAGGAACUAAGCAACUCAGAAGUCUCAAGAAGUCAGUGAAACUGGCCAGAUGCACAAAACCUUUCCUUCCCCAACUUAAACAGUAGGGACAGCU
Molecule: long non-coding RNA, 1343 nt
Organism: Nannospalax galili (Upper Galilee mountains blind mole rat)
Lineage: Eukaryota; Metazoa; Chordata; Mammalia; Rodentia; Spalacidae
Exons: 4
Source: RefSeq, a predicted model, not a curated record